This 253-nucleotide ribosomal RNA is filed under the name uncultured bacterium. Its description in RNAcentral is "partial 16S ribosomal RNA". It matches the Rfam family "Bacterial small subunit ribosomal RNA", at positions 524 to 776 of the family's 1533-position model. The record is from RNAcentral.
UACGUAGGGUGCGAGCGUUGUCCGGAAUUAUUGGGCGUAAAGGGCUCGUAGGCGGUUUGUCGCGUCGGGAGUGAAAUCCACUGGCUUAACUGGUGGCUUGCUUUCGAUACGGGCAGACUGGAGGUAUGCAGGGGAGAACGGAAUUCCUGGUGUAGCGGUGAAAUGCGCAGAUAUCAGGAAGAACACCCGUGGCGAAGGCGGCUCUCUGGAACGCAACUGACGCUGAGACGCGAAAGCGUGGGGAGCAAACAGG